GAUCCUGGCUCAAAUUGAACGCUGGCGGCAUGCCUCACUCUUGCAAGUCGAACGGCAGCGCGGGUGCUUGCACCUGGCGGCGAGUGGCGAACGGGUGAGUAAUACAUCGGAACGUGCCCUAAAGUGGGGGAUAACUAGUCAAAAGAUUAGCUAAUACCGCAUACAAUCUACGGAUGAAAGUGGGGGACCGCGAGGCCUCAUGCUCCUGGAGCGGCCGAUGUCUGAUUAGCUAGUUGGUGGGGUAACGGCCUACCAAGGCGACAAUCAGUAGCUGGUCUGAAAGGACAACCAGCCACACUGGGACUGAAACACGGCCCAAACUCCUACGGGAGGCAGCAGUGGGGAAUUUUGGACAAUGGGGGCAACCCUGAUCCAGCAAUGCCGCGUGUGUGAAGAAGGCCUUCGGGUUGUAAAGCACUUUUGUCAGGAACGAAACGGUGGGGGCUAAUACCUCCUGCUAAUGACGGUACCUGAAAAAUAAGCACCGGCUAACUACGUG
This 499-nucleotide ribosomal RNA is filed under the name uncultured bacterium. Its description in RNAcentral is "bacterial SSU rRNA". It matches the Rfam family "Bacterial small subunit ribosomal RNA", at positions 15 to 507 of the family's 1533-position model. The record is from RNAcentral.